This is a long non-coding RNA of Bombus huntii, 254 nucleotides long. RefSeq lists it as uncharacterized. The transcript has 3 exons. NCBI's taxonomy places the organism in Eukaryota, Metazoa, Arthropoda, Insecta, Hymenoptera, Apidae. The record is from RefSeq and is a predicted model, not a curated record.
AGAGAGAGAGGGGGGGGGCAGGAGGAAAUGGAAGAAGAAAAAUGCGAGAGAAAUAAAAGGGAGGAGACCGAAAAGAGAGCUGUUCGUAUUAGGUCGGUGAGACAAUGAUCGAGCGAAACUCAACGUCGAUGGUCUUGCGUAUAAAUUCAAUAAAGGAUGGACGAUGCAAAUUUAUCAACAGUAUCCUCGCAUAAAAGUUCCUCACCUUUUUGACCAACGUCACGAUGAUUUCAUAGAAGAUAUAGUGGAUUUAA